Molecule: ribosomal RNA, 483 nt
Filed under: uncultured bacterium
Lineage: Bacteria
Description: partial 16S ribosomal RNA
Rfam family: Bacterial small subunit ribosomal RNA
Source: RNAcentral
AUUGAACGCUGGCGGCAGGCCUAACACAUGCAAGUCGAGCGGAUGAAGGGAGCUUGCUCCUGGAUUCAGCGGCGGACGGGUGAGUAAUGCCUAGGAAUCUGCCUGGUAGUGGGGGAUAACGUCCGGAAACGGGCGCUAAUACCGCAUACGUCCUGAGGGAGAAAGUGGGGGAUCUUCGGACCUCACGCUAUCAGAUGAGCCUAGGUCGGAUUAGCUAGUUGGUGGGGUAAAGGCCUACCAAGGCGACGAUCCGUAACUGGUCUGAGAGGAUGAUCAGUCAAACUGAAACGGAGAAAGGGCCCGAAUCCCAAGGGAAGCAAGAAGGGGGGAUAAUGGAACAUGGGGGGAAGGCUGGACCAGGCCAGGCGGGGGGGGGGAAGAAGGCCUCCGAAUGGAAAGGAACUUAAGUUGGGAGGAAGGGCAGUAAGUUAAUACCUUGCUGUUUUGACGUUACCAACAGAAUAAGCACCGGCUAACUUCGUG